GAAAUGCGAUAAUUAAUGUGAAUUGCAGAAUUCAGUGAAUCAUCGAGUCUUUGAACGCACAUUGCGCCUCCUGGUAUUCCGGGGGGCAUGCCUGUCCGAGCGUCAUUGCUGCCCUCAAGCACGGCUUGUGUGUUGGGCUUCCGUCCCUGGCAACGGGGACGGGCCCAAAAGGCAGUGGCGGCACCAUGUCUGGUCCUCGAGCGUAUGGGGCUUUGUCACCCGCUCCCGUAGGUCCAGCUGGCAGCUAGCCUCGCAACCAAUCUUUUUAACCAGGUUGACCUCGGAUCAGGUAGGGAUACCCGCUGAACUUAAGC
Molecule: unclassified non-coding RNA, 314 nt
Filed under: plant metagenome
Description: partial contains 5.8S ribosomal RNA, internal transcribed spacer 2, and large subunit ribosomal RNA
Rfam family: 5.8S ribosomal RNA (bases 1-105)
Source: RNAcentral